UACAGGAAAAUUUCCAUGGCAUUGGGUAGG
This 30-nucleotide non-coding RNA is filed under the name Homo sapiens (human). Lineage: Eukaryota; Metazoa; Chordata; Mammalia; Primates; Hominidae. The record is from RNAcentral.